Molecule: long non-coding RNA, 256 nt
Organism: Agelaius phoeniceus (red-winged blackbird)
Lineage: Eukaryota; Metazoa; Chordata; Aves; Passeriformes; Icteridae
Source: RefSeq, a predicted model, not a curated record
AGCCCCACCACUGCAACACCUCCUAUGCUUAGCCAGGGAGAUUGUCUCUAUUAUAUGGAAACAAGGAGGAUGAAGACAUACUAACUCUGAAAAAGGGAUUUGAAGAGCUGGAGGCUGACACGGAGAACACCUCAAGGUUAUCAAACUGCCUCACUGGUGUAAAGCAGUUCUCUCUCCAAAGGAUGAACUGGAAACUACAACACAUGACAAUGAGUUGCCUGGUAGAAUUAUAACAACAACAACAACAAAAACACAC